Molecule: long non-coding RNA, 1592 nt
Filed under: Heterocephalus glaber (naked mole-rat)
Lineage: Eukaryota; Metazoa; Chordata; Mammalia; Rodentia; Bathyergidae
Description: lncRNA (ENSHGLG00000050794.1)
Source: RNAcentral
GUGAGGCUCCCACCCCGCGCGGUGCAGCCUGGCCUGCCUCUGAGGAGAGCUGCCUGCACGCAGGUUCGCGCCCCCUGCUCCCUGAGCGCCUGGGCUCCCCAGAUGCUGCUUUUAACGGGAGGCAGACGGAGAGAUCCUGAGAAAUGUGGCACCUUCUAACCCUCCGCGGGCAAAGCAGUUCUCACCCGCACAGCAGGGCCUGGUUUUCCCUCCCUCUUCUUUUGUAGAUUGGAAUGAGUACUUUAUUAUUUUCCUGUACUCGAUUCCCGACAAGGCUUCCAUUUCAAGGGCAAAAGGAUAGGGGCAGGGUGAAGGGGGGCUGAUUUUCCCCUCAGGUGUGCCGAGGAGGGGCCUCCGGGGAGUGGGGGUCUGGAGUCCCCGUGCCUGAGGACUGCAGGCCCUGCUGUUCGGCUCUCUUCCUGCCGUGCUCUGGGCCCUUCCCAGCCUCUCCUGGGGUCCUUGGACGCAUCCAUGUUUCCCCGGGGAAUCGGCCCGGGGCUCCUGGUGCGUCACAGACAGAAAGGUUCAGAGCCGCCCUCCUGGGUAGGAAGUGAGGUGGGAGAGGCCAAGCCCUGGCUGGGAAUCCACUGGUGUUGGCCCUGGACCCCAGGCAUCGGCACACUGGGGUCUCCACCCCCUGGGGCUCCCCAGGCUGCCCAGCCUCCUGCGCUCCAGGGCCUCGGACUGCAGGGUCCAGGGUGCAGCCAGCCCCUCGGCUCCUGUCACAGCCUCGAUGGCCCUUGUCCUGUGUCCCUGUGCUCUCAGAGCCCGGGCUCUCCCUGCCACUCCUGUAGUACCGGUGGGUGGGUCCAGCCACAGAAACCAGGCUGCAGCCGUCUAUGCCACUUUGGCUCAGUACCUGGAACCUGGUAGGGGCACUGGUGUGCAGAGCGAAUGAAGAAAUGAACCAGUAGCCCAGCGGGAGGGUGCACACCUGUCAUCCCAGCACUCGGCGGGGCUGAGGCAGGAGGACUGCAAACUCAAUCCCAGCCUGGGCACCUUCCUGACCUAGUGAGACCCUGCUUCAGAAAUAAGGAAGAAAAAGGGUUGAGGGUGCAGCUCAGUGCGAAGGCCCUGGAUUCAGUCCCUAGAAUCACAAAAACAAACACAAAUCCAAGGCAGUCUCAGAAUCAGGGCCACACUUGAAUCUCUCUUCUUAUUACAGAUAAGGAGCCUAGGAAUGAAAAUGGUCUUCUCGUCUUCCUUUGCUUUAAAUUUCUGAAACGUGAGGAGUCGCACUUUUCAAACCUCUGCGAACCCAGCUGAAGCUGCGGCAGUACCAAAUGGAACAUGCAGAGCUGAGUAAACAAAGUGACUUAGAGCUCCUUCUUGUCCUUGGGGCCAAUAUCAUAAAGGGAUCGAACUUGGGACCUUGUCCUCGCAAGACAGGCUGCAGAACCAGAGCAGCCUGCAACGCUGACAGACCACGGUCAAGGGCCGAGCUGCAUCGAGAGCCUGUGUAGAGCACGGAUCUGCACGAAAAGGGCAGAUUUAUCAUUUGUGUCUAAGGCAGCAUGCAUGCACUGUGUGCUCUAAAGCCCUGUAUUCGGUAAGGAGCUUCGCCGAGGAAGGCGGGGGGGCCGGAGGGAGGG